This 484-nucleotide ribosomal RNA is filed under the name uncultured bacterium. RNAcentral describes it as "partial 16S ribosomal RNA". It matches the Rfam family "Bacterial small subunit ribosomal RNA", at positions 30 to 507 of the family's 1533-position model. The record is from RNAcentral.
AUUGAACGCUAGCGGCAGGCCUAACACAUGCAAGUCGAGCGGAUGAAGGGAGCUUGCUCCUGGAUUCAGCGGCGGACGGGUGAGUAAUGCCUAGGAAUCUGCCUGGUAGUGGGGGAUAACGUCCGGAAACGGGCGCUAAUACCGCAUACGUCCUGAGGGAGAAAGUGGGGGAUCUUCGGACCUCACGCUAUCAGAUGAGCCUAGGUCGGAUUAGCUAGUUGGUGGGGUAAAGGCCUACCAAGGCGACGAUCCGUAACUGGUCUGAGAGGAUGAUCAGUCACACUGGAACUGAGACACGGUCCAGACUCCUACGGGAGGCAGCAGUGGGGAAUAUUGGACAAUGGGCGAAAGCCUGAUCCAGCCAGGCCGCGUGUGUGAAGAAGGUCUUCGGAUUGUAAAGCACUUUAAGUUGGGAGGAAGGGCAGUAAGUUAAUACCUUGCUGUUUUGACGUUACCAACAGAAUAAGCACCGGCUAACUUCGUG